RNAcentral lists this ribosomal RNA (258 nucleotides) under uncultured bacterium. RNAcentral describes it as "partial 16S ribosomal RNA". It matches the Rfam family "Bacterial small subunit ribosomal RNA", at positions 793 to 1055 of the family's 1533-position model. The record is from RNAcentral.
GUCCACGCCGUAAACGAUGAUUACUCGAUGUUGGCGAUAAACUGUCAGCGUCUUAGCGAAAGCGUUAAGUAAUCCACCUGGGGAGUACGCCCGCAAGGGUGAAACUCAAAGGAAUUGACGGGGGCCCGCACAAGCGGUGGAGCAUGUGGUUUAAUUCGAUGAUACGCGAGGAACCUUACCUAGGCUAGAAUGCGCGUGACCGGUCCAGAGAUGGACCUUUCCUUCGGGACACAAAGCAAGGUGCUGCAUGGCCGUCGU